RNAcentral lists this ribosomal RNA (497 nucleotides) under uncultured bacterium. RNAcentral describes it as "partial 16S ribosomal RNA". It matches the Rfam family "Bacterial small subunit ribosomal RNA", at positions 28 to 507 of the family's 1533-position model. The record is from RNAcentral.
GAUGAACGCUGGCGGCGUGCCUAAUACAUGCAAGUCGAGCGAACAGACGAGGAGCUUGCUCCUCUGACGUUAGCGGCGGACGGGUGAGUAACACGUGGAGAACCUACCUAUAAGACUGGGAUAACUUCGGGAAACCGGAGCUAAUACCGGAUAAUAUAUUGAACCGCAUGGUUCAAUAGUGAAAGACGGUUUUGCUGUCACUUAUAGAUGGAUCCGCGCCGCAUUAGCUAGUUGGUAAGGUAACGGCUUACCAAGGCAACGAUGCGUAGCCGACCUGAGAGGGUGAUCAGCCACACUGGAACUGAGACACGGUCCAGACUCCUACGGGAGGCAGCAGUAGGGAAUCUUCCGCAAUGGGCGAAAGCCUGACGGAGCAACGCCGCGUGAGUGAUGAAGGUCUUCGGAUCGUAAAACUCUGUUAUUAGGGAAGAACAAAUGUGUAAGUAACUAUGCACGUCUUGACGGUACCUAAUCAGAAAGCCACGGCUAACUACGUG